ACAGCAGUAGUUUGGAUUUAUUCUUGGUGU
RNAcentral lists this non-coding RNA (30 nucleotides) under Mus musculus (house mouse). Lineage: Eukaryota; Metazoa; Chordata; Mammalia; Rodentia; Muridae. The record is from RNAcentral.